UUUCCGUAGGUGAACCUGCGGAAGGAUCAUUAACGAGUUCAUGCCCUCCAUGGUAGAUUUCCCACCAUUGAAUAUUUAUACCUUAGUUGCGUUGGCAGGCCGUGGAAUCACCAUGGGCCCCGACUUAUGCGUGCCUGCCAUGGGAAACAAACCCUGUUUUUAGUGAUGUCAGAUUACUAUAUAAUAGUUAAAACUUUCAACAACGGAUCUCUUGGUUCUG
RNAcentral lists this unclassified non-coding RNA (220 nucleotides) under plant metagenome. Its description in RNAcentral is "partial contains small subunit ribosomal RNA, internal transcribed spacer 1, and 5.8S ribosomal RNA". The record is from RNAcentral.